This 489-nucleotide ribosomal RNA is filed under the name uncultured bacterium. Its description in RNAcentral is "partial 16S ribosomal RNA". It matches the Rfam family "Bacterial small subunit ribosomal RNA", at positions 28 to 507 of the family's 1533-position model. The record is from RNAcentral.
GACGAACGCUGGCGGCGUGCUUAACACAUGCAAGUCGAACGGUGAAGGGAUCAGCUUGCUGGUUCUGGAUGAGUGGCGAACGGGUGAGUAACACGUGAGUAACCUGCCCCCUUCUUCUGGAUAACCGCAUGAAAGUGUGGCUAAUACGGGAUAUUCUGGGUCUGUCGCAUGAUGGGUCUGGGAAAGAUAUUGUUUCGGUGGGGGAUGGGCUCGCGGCCUAUCAGCUUGUUGGUGGGGUGAUGGCCUACCAAGGCGGUGACGGGUAGCCGGCCUGAGAGGGUGGACGGUCACACUGGGACUGAGACACGGCCCAGACUCCUACGGGAGGCAGCAGUGGGGAAUAUUGCACAAUGGGCGCAAGCCUGAUGCAGCGACGCCGCGUGAGGGAUGGAGGCCUUCGGGGUGUAAACCUCUUUCGCCAGUGAAGCAGGCCUGCUCCUUGUGGGUGGGUUGACGGUAGCUGGAGAAGAAGCGCCGGCUAACUACGUG